This 749-nucleotide long non-coding RNA is filed under the name Homo sapiens (human). RNAcentral describes it as "HSALNT0384752". The record is from RNAcentral. Lineage: Eukaryota; Metazoa; Chordata; Mammalia; Primates; Hominidae.
CUUGGAUCAGUCGCUUUGGAGGAAGCCAGCUGCCAUGUUUUGAGGACACUAAGGCACUUUACGGAGAGGCCCACGUGUAAAUCCUUCUCCUCCCAGAAGCAUUUAAAAAUCCACAAACCAUGGCUAACUUCCUGUGAAAUGGCUUAGUGGGCAAAAAUUCAGAAUAAGGGGAGUGUGAGUCCAUGUCUCCUUUCCAGAGAUGAAGAAGUUUCUCUUUUCUGUGCAUGAAGAAGACAAUGGGAUAUGGAUGACACUAAACCUUUGAAAGUUCCUGCUAACCUCCAGGUGGAAGGAAAGGGCCCACGGUGAUCAAUAAAUGUGUUUGCUAUUUUUUGGGUGAAAGGAAGAGAGCCUGCACCUCUGUUGGGGUAGGUUAUCCACGCUGUCUGCCUGGGGUCCAGAUUCCUGGCAUUGAUAUGACUUCUUGGCUCUCUUGAGCCCUGAAUCUGCUUCAAAUUCAGAAAGCCCCAAGACUUCUGGGCUCUAUAAUUACUCUGGGCUUUGGAGAAUGGUUUCUCUUAUGAGCAAAACAAUGGUGGAAACUUGUACCAAUGAAGGAAACACACAAGCGUGUAGAGGAACAUUGCUGUUUGCUGAUGAUGCUGGUGGCUGCUUGGUUCUUGUUCUAGGUGCUGGUGAUAGAACUGUGAACCAAAGGUCAUUGCCUUCAAGGAGUUUAUAUUCAAGUGGAGAAGAUGGAAAACCCUCCCCUCACAAACAAACAGACUCUGAAACCUGAUAAAUAAAUA